Suricata suricatta (meerkat) is the source of this 658-nucleotide long non-coding RNA. RefSeq lists it as uncharacterized. The transcript has 4 exons. Lineage: Eukaryota; Metazoa; Chordata; Mammalia; Carnivora; Herpestidae. The record is from RefSeq and is a predicted model, not a curated record.
AUUUCUUCUAGCUCCUAUGGUGAACUGAUGGGACUAAAAUUCAUGGUGCUUCCUGACUCCAACCUCACCCACUGCCACUGCCUACCACCAUCAAUACUGUCAUCUCAGGGUACACACAUCAAUCAGGCAGGUGAAAUGAUGAAGUUUUAUGAAGGCUGUAAAACGAGCUCAAGACCACAAUGAAAAUAAGUGUGAGCACUUUGAUUAAAACUGAAGACUUCUUAAUUUCAAAGCCCUAUGCUACCUACUAUAUAUGCAUAUUCUGGAAAGAGGACAAGAAAAAUAAGUCAUUUUUAAAUGGCUCCCCACACAUCAACCACUGCAGUCUGAGCCCCAGCUGCCACCUUCGGUGUCUCCACCUUUCUCUUUGCCAGCCACACAUGCCCACAUGUCUCAGCUGUCUUCAACACACACACUGCCUUCCACAGAAGAACCACAGCCCUGCACUGCAAUAAGAAUGAGUAUGUGUGUGCUACUGUGCAUAGUCUGUGAGCUGACACUCUCCAUCCAGAUGCAUUUUCAGCAACCACAGAAUAUUGAAAGCAGAAUCCUGCUGACUAAAGCACAACCAUGUGAGCUACACAAAAUAGGAAGGUGAAAUCAUAAUGAAUCAUCAAGAUGGACAAUAAACAGAAAUAGGCACUGGGGCAUCACUAUU